GUUGCACUGAUUCGAUCGGGAUAGUCAUCAAAAUUAAAAUAAGAACCGAGACAGCUUCUUUUGCCAAUGGCGGGCCAUAUAAAGUUCCUCGGAACCUAAGCCGCAAGGCCGGUGGAUUACAAAGGCGGAGAGUUCUCAAAUCAUAUAUACUCGGACUUAUCAUCACAUCAUCGUGCAGCCCCUU
RNAcentral lists this small RNA (184 nucleotides) under uncultured Prevotella sp. RNAcentral describes it as "Bacteroidales-1 6S-Bacteroidales RNA suggested". It matches the Rfam family "Bacteroidales-1 6S-Bacteroidales RNA suggested". The record is from RNAcentral. Lineage: Bacteria; Pseudomonadati; Bacteroidota; Bacteroidia; Bacteroidales; Prevotellaceae.